This is a long non-coding RNA of Carassius auratus (goldfish), 1016 nucleotides long. RefSeq lists it as uncharacterized. Lineage: Eukaryota; Metazoa; Chordata; Actinopteri; Cypriniformes; Cyprinidae. The record is from RefSeq and is a predicted model, not a curated record. The transcript has 3 exons.
UGAGGAGAACAUUUGAAGUCAGUGUUUUAAACUAUAAACAGGUGGUGCAACAAAUUCAGCUGCAAAUCUGUGAAGCUUUGUGUACAUGACACCUGCAGAAAUCAUUUUGUUGCUGGAAAAAUGUAUCCUUUGCCCUGUAUACAGGUGCAGGCCUGUGUGUUACAGUAUGUCCUAUGACCCUACAGAGAGGAUAUAAGGCUGACUGCAGCAUGAAACAGAAACCAGGCCAGCUGAGACCAUGCAAAAAUCUCAGGAAGUCCUCAGUACUGCAUUGCAGAGGAAAAUCAGCAGGGGUAAAAGACCAAGGCUUUUCAUCUCUCGAAACAAGACACUUUUAAUGAAACUUCUGUCCUUCCACUGAAAGUCCAUGCUUAACCAUACUUGUGUGACGCAAGAACAAACCUCAUUGGUUCUCGUGGAUAAAUCAGGUUGUGGUCAUCUAUCAUGUCAUCUGCAACGGAGGUGUAAUUUUUCUUGUGAUUGUCAUCGUAGCGGUGCUAACAACAGGAUAUUUCUCCAAGUAAAAACAGAUUUGCUGAUUAUGAGGGCUCACCCAUAUUUUGGGUUACCUAAUUCUGCAUUACAUUUAAAUUCAUGCAUUUGCCAGAUGGUUUAAUCCAAAGCAGCUUGUGCAGAAUAAGGUACACAUUUUAUUGAGUUAAGUUAUCCAAACAGUAGACUACUUUUCAAGUACUUCUUUUGUUUUUUAUUUCUAGUUUGAUGUCUGGAUUAUGUCAUCUGCAGUACAUUCCAGUCUGAGCCUUUACUUGUGAUUGCCAUCAUAACGGCGAUAACAUCAACUGGUAAAUUAGACAAUGUAAACUAGUUAAAAGAGAUAUGCAUUUUUUAUCUUAAUCCAUUCCCUGGGAAUCAACUCCAUUAUUUCAUCAAUGUAACACUUUGCUCUACUGUUUGAUCUAUGAAUGCAUUGUAAGGAAUGGAGCUUUAAUUAUCUGUGAUGGAUUAAAAAACUAAUUGCACUUUCCUUGUAGGAGGUGCAUUCAGAUUACAUUAUA